CCUACGGGAGGCAGCAGUGGGGGAUAUUGCACAAUGGGGGGAACCCUGAUGCAGCGACGCCGCGUGGGUGAAGAAGCGCCUCGGCGCGUAAAGCCCUGUCAGCAGGGAAGAAAAUGACGGUACCUGAAGAAGAAGACCCGGCUAACUCCGUGCCAGCAGCCGCGGUAAUACGUAGGGGGCAAGCGUUAUCCGGAUUUACAGGGUGUAAAGGGGGCGCAGACGGCGAUGCAAGCCAGGAGUGAAAGCCCGGGGACCAACCCCGGGACUGCUCUUGGAACUGCGUGGCUGGAGUGCAGGAGGGGCAGGCGGAAUUCCUGGUGUAGCGGUGAAAUGUGUAGAUAUCAGGAGGAACACCGGUGGCGAAGGCGGCCUGCUGGACUGCAACUGACGUUGAGGCCCGAAAGCGUGGGGAGCAAACAGGAUUAGAUACCCCAGUAGUC
This 440-nucleotide ribosomal RNA is filed under the name uncultured bacterium. Its description in RNAcentral is "partial 16S ribosomal RNA". It matches the Rfam family "Bacterial small subunit ribosomal RNA", at positions 338 to 795 of the family's 1533-position model. The record is from RNAcentral.